RNAcentral lists this ribosomal RNA (450 nucleotides) under uncultured prokaryote. RNAcentral describes it as "bacterial SSU rRNA". It matches the Rfam family "Bacterial small subunit ribosomal RNA", at positions 355 to 796 of the family's 1533-position model. The record is from RNAcentral.
UGAGGAAUAUUGGGCAAUGGGCGGAAGCCUGACCCAGCCACGCCGCGUGAGUGAUGAAGGCCUUCGGGUUGUAAAGCUCUGUGGGGAAGGAAGAAAACGUUGGUGAAUAAUAAGCACCAGCCUUGACGGUACUUCCUUAGCAAGCACCGGCUAACUCUGUGCCAGCAGCCGCGGUAAGACAGAGGGUGCAAACGUUGCUCGGAAUUACUGGGCGUAAAGCGCACGUAGGCGGAUUCGCAAGUCAGAUGUGAAAUCCCCGGGCUCAACCUGGGAACUGCAUUUGAAACUGCGUGUCUAGAGUGAUGGAGAGGGAAGCGGAAUUCCCGGUGUAGAGGUGAAAUUCGUAGAUAUCGGGAGGAACACCAGUGGCGAAGGCGGCUUCCUGGACAUUAACUGACGCUGAGGUGCGAAAGCGUGGGGAGCAAACAGGAUUAGAUACCCCGGUAGUCC